GCCCAGAUAGCUCAGUUGGUAGAGCAGGGGACUGAAAAUCCCCGUGUCGGCAGUUCGAUUCUGCCUUUGGGCA
This 73-nucleotide transfer RNA is filed under the name Lachnospiraceae bacterium. RNAcentral's name for it is "tRNA-Phe". It matches the Rfam family "tRNA". From Rfam's summary of the family: Transfer RNA (tRNA) molecules are approximately 80 nucleotides in length. Their secondary structure includes four short double-helical elements and three loops (D, anti-codon, and T loops). The record is from RNAcentral. Lineage: Bacteria; Bacillati; Bacillota; Clostridia; Lachnospirales; Lachnospiraceae.